ACGCUCGACACCUACGGGGGCAGCAGUCGGGAAUAUUGCGCAAUGGAGGAAACUCUGACGCAGUGACGCCGCGUAUAGGAAGAAGGUUUUCGGAUUGUAAACUAUUGUCGUUAGGGAAGAAAAAAGACAGUACCUAAGGAGGAAGCUCCGGCUAACUACGUGCCGGCAGCCGCGGUAAUCUGAGCGGGCUGGCAAGGC
Molecule: ribosomal RNA, 198 nt
Filed under: uncultured bacterium
Lineage: Bacteria
Description: partial 16S ribosomal RNA
Rfam family: Bacterial small subunit ribosomal RNA
Source: RNAcentral